GAGGAGGCGCGGAAGGUGGCUGAGAGCGGCCCGAGUCCCGGCUGGCGAAGGAGGCAGCGGCAGCAGCCCGAAUUGGAGGCUCAGCCCCGGCUUUAAAGGAGCCGCGUGCUCGGUUGCAGGCAAGCGUCGCGGAGUGGCCCAGGAAGCGGGGAUAAGGGGGCGUCACGGGGGCAGCAGCGACGGGGCGGGGAAGGGAGUGGAGCUGCCGGCCGGCUGGGAGGAUGAGCAAACGCCCAGCUCUCAAGAAAGCGCUCCUGCAACGUGACCCGAAAACGACCCCGCGAUGGGAGGAGUGAGAAACGAGGAGAGCGUCUCUGAGCAUGUGCAGAGUGCGCCUGCUUCCUCACAUCAGAAGCUGCGCUCGGUCUCCGUAGGGAGCGAGGGCUUGCAUUCCGGUUUAGAAAGGCUGUUUUACGAGAAGGCUAGGGUGAAGCUACAUGAGAGGCGUGUGCUACAGUCCUUUGUCGCUUCCCAGAGAAUUUGAAACAGGUCUCCUUAAGGUGUAAAGAAAAUUGCUAGAGACAGAAGGAGGAAAAGGAACAUUCUGGAAGAAAGGAGUAUAGAGGGCAAAAUUUUAGAAAAGGACUAUGAAAAGAGGAAGUUAAGAAGAAGCCAUUUCUAACAACUCAAGAAAACAGGAAGUUAAGAUGAAGCCAUUUCUAACAACUCAAGAAAAAUAUCCAAAUAUCAUUCUUAGUACUGUAACAGAGCAGAGUUACAUCCAUUGACUUCAAUACAGUUGAAAGAUAAUAAUUCUGUUCAGAAUCACAUUUUAGAGAAGUGUAUUUAGCUGGUAAAACUUUUUAAAAAUUUCUUCAUUUGUUUAAGUUUGCAUAUUGUAACAGUACAUACUUUAUGUAUCCUACUAAUGUUUUAUUGUGGUAUAUUGUUUAUAUUUUAUGACCACUGAAGAAAACAAGAUUGAUCAUGCAUUUCUGA
Molecule: long non-coding RNA, 939 nt
Organism: Sphaerodactylus townsendi
Lineage: Eukaryota; Metazoa; Chordata; Lepidosauria; Squamata; Sphaerodactylidae
Exons: 2
Source: RefSeq, a predicted model, not a curated record